This 496-nucleotide ribosomal RNA is filed under the name uncultured bacterium. RNAcentral's name for it is "partial 16S ribosomal RNA". It matches the Rfam family "Bacterial small subunit ribosomal RNA", at positions 28 to 506 of the family's 1533-position model. The record is from RNAcentral.
GAUGAACGCUGGCGGCGUGCCUAAUACAUGCAGGUCGAGCGAACGGACGAGAAGCUUGCUUCUCUGAUGUUAGCGGCGGACGGGUGAGUAACACGUGGAUAACCUACCUAUAAGACUGGGAUAACUUCGGGAAACCGGAGCUAAUACCGGAUAAUAUUUUGAACCGCAUGGUUCAAAAGUAAAAGACGGUCUUGCUGUCACUUAUAGAUGGAUCCGCGCUGCAUUAGCUAGUUGGUAAGGUAACGGCUUACCAAGGCAACGAUGCAUAGCCGACCUGAGAGGGUGAUCGGCCACACUGGAACUGAGACACGGUCCAGACUCCUACGGGAGGCAGCAGUAGGGAAUCUUCCGCAGUGGGCGAAAGCCUGACGGAGCAACGCCGCGUGAGUGAUGAAGGUCUUCGGAUCGUAAAACUCUGUUAUUAGGGAAGAACAUAUGUGUAAGUAACUGUGCACAUCUUGACGGUACCUAAUCAGAAAGCCACGGCUAACUACGU